AGGAAAUGCCAAGGUUCUCUUCUGAACAGAAGAGAAGCACACGGUCUAAGAUUUACUCAAGAUUCACAGGCUGUUAAGCUCCACAGCAGAGGAACACUAGGCCCUAUAUUCAAAUUCAUUCUUUCUCAAGUUUUUGAAAAGAAGAAAUAUUUCUCUAUUGGACAUUUAUUUUCUUUCAGAUUAGCUGAUUUACUGUGCAAGACUAAAUCAACGGCAGGCCUGAGGGAAACUGCACUGGAGCCGAGGAAAGGACACAUGGUGUGUUCCGUGGCGAGAGGACUCUGCAGGCAAACUCAGAAGGUGUCCAGAGUGAAAGGGAAAGAAAGUUCAAAAAAGAAUAAUAAAGACUUACUAACUGGAUGGACCACAAAGGAUGACUUUAAGAUUUAAACUGCCAGCAUCUCCCUGGGAUGACGAACAUUACUGGUCACCUCUGCUCUUCACAGACUUCCGGCACAGACCUUACAGCAGUGCAUCAGCAGUGACUCUCUUCCAGCUCCUUGGGCAUUUGCAGAGCAAACAUCCUCCUUGGUGAAGAGAGCUCCCCGAAAUCUCCCUCAUCCAUACUAUGGUAGAAGAAAAACCUGUCAUGGAAGAGGAAUUGUCAGCACCAGUCAUACAGAUGAGUCUUUAUAUGAGGACUGGGGAUUUAGCAUAGUGGUUCUGCCAACUACCUCACAAGCACAAGGUCCCGAGUUCAAUCCCCGGUUCCAAAACAAAACAAAAAACAGAUGAGUCUGUAUGAAUAACCUUUGCUAAAAUGACCUCAUUCGUUUG
Non-coding RNA from Heterocephalus glaber (naked mole-rat), 777 nucleotides. NCBI's taxonomy places the organism in Eukaryota, Metazoa, Chordata, Mammalia, Rodentia, Bathyergidae. The record is from RefSeq and is a predicted model, not a curated record.